RNAcentral lists this ribosomal RNA (253 nucleotides) under uncultured bacterium. RNAcentral's name for it is "partial 16S ribosomal RNA". It matches the Rfam family "Bacterial small subunit ribosomal RNA", at positions 524 to 776 of the family's 1533-position model. The record is from RNAcentral.
UACGUAGGGACCGAGCGUUGUCCGGAAUCAUUGGGCGUAAAGAGCGUGUAGGCGGCCACUUAAGUCCUGCGUGAAAUCUUGCGGCUCAACCGCAAGCGGUCGUGGGAAACUGGGUGGCUAGAGUGCGGGAGAGGAGAGUGGAAUUCCUGGUGUAGCGGUGAAAUGCGUAGAUAUCUGGAGGAACACCGGUGGCGAAGGCGGCAUCCUGGACCGGCAUUGACGCUGAGGCGCGAAAGCCAGGGGAGCAAACGGG